This 105-nucleotide small nucleolar RNA is filed under the name Gossypium barbadense (sea-island cotton). RNAcentral's name for it is "Plant small nucleolar RNA R71". It matches the Rfam family "Plant small nucleolar RNA R71". From Rfam's summary of the family: R71 is a member of the C/D box family of snoRNAs containing the C (UGAUGA) and D (CUGA) box motifs. Multiple nearly identical copies of this snoRNA have been identified in Arabidopsis, and it is thought to function as a 2'-O-ribose methylation guide for 18S ribosomal RNA. RNAcentral also lists the same sequence under 2 other names. Lineage: Eukaryota; Viridiplantae; Streptophyta; Magnoliopsida; Malvales; Malvaceae. The record is from Rfam by way of RNAcentral.
AUGCCAUGAUGAGGCACUUCCAUAAUAACUCAUUGAAUUGCUCCCACGCCUCAUAUAAAGAUUUUUCAUCAAAUUGCUUAAAUGAAGUGUUUCAUUUUGAAGCUU